CAGCCCUAUGUGGAUACAGAGCAGGAGAACUUCCCACUGCAGUCAUUCCAAUGCAGAUCCCUGCGGAAGAUGCCCUUUGGGAAGAUGGAUCCCAGCUGCACCAUUGGCUUCUAUGCAGGCGCUGGGACCGGGCUGGAUGCGCUCUGCAAGGACCUGAGCCGGGUCCUGGCCCCCCCCACAGCACCCGAGCGUUAUCCCCUCUUCACCCUGG
This is a long non-coding RNA of Melopsittacus undulatus (budgerigar), 211 nucleotides long. RefSeq lists it as uncharacterized. The record is from RefSeq and is a predicted model, not a curated record. The transcript has 3 exons. Lineage: Eukaryota; Metazoa; Chordata; Aves; Psittaciformes; Psittaculidae.